Long non-coding RNA from Stegostoma tigrinum, 1030 nucleotides. RefSeq lists it as uncharacterized. The record is from RefSeq and is a predicted model, not a curated record. The transcript is spliced from 3 exons. NCBI's taxonomy places the organism in Eukaryota, Metazoa, Chordata, Chondrichthyes, Orectolobiformes, Stegostomatidae.
CGCCCCGCAACGCCAUCUUUAUCGGGGGUUGUGUGAUGGACUGGGAAGGCUCACCGCUCCCUUGUGUUUGCUUUGUGGGCCUCGAAGACCCGAGGAGGUCGUCAGGAUGUAACAAGUGGUAUGCCACGAGGAUCGGUGCUGGGACCUCAAACCAUUUACAAUCUAUACAAAUGACCUGGAUGCAGGGACCAUAGACACCGACAGACCUGUGAAUUUGGAAAAGUCUUGCUUUGGCUCAAUGCAAGGUCGUACAGGAUUUGACUAAGGUCAUGAAACGUGCUUAAGGUGGCUGGCAGCAGGAUAAAGUCUAAUUGGUCUGUGAAACUCACUUGCUCUUGCUGGCUGGUGGACAGUCACUGGUUAACCCACUGUUGUGGUGUAACACCCGAACCCAAUCCCCACUAUGCCUCAUGUCCACACACAGACACUUUCAAAUGAGGGUCCCUCGUUAGCAGGUAACAACAGAGAACUUGGCCGAUUUCCACAUACACUCCUGACUAAACCAGUGAACUGAAGCCAGCCAUCUUUACCCAGUUUUUACCCGAGCUAGCACCAUGGGCGAAGCCGUGAAAUGUUUGGUCGGAGCAUCUUAGUUGCACACCAGGUCGCACACUGAAUCAAUGAGCGAUUACAGCGAGAAUCGCAUUUUGUAAAUUGACCGAUAUUGAAGUCUUUCCUUCUGUGUCUGAUCUGUCACAGGAGCAAGAAAUUGAAAAGCAGACACAGUAGAGAGAGAGCUGUUAAUUAAGCUCCGCAGUGACUGCAGGUUCAAAUCCUUGUCCAGCCCACAGCUCCAAAGACACAGAAUUGUUACAGUGCAGAGAGUCCCAUCAUGUCUGUACCAGUUCUUCAAACAGGUUCACUCAGUGACAUUCUCCCAUCCUCUCCUCAUAACCCUGUGCUUUCUUCCUUUUCCACAUUAUACUCCAAGUCCCUCUUGAAAGCAGUUAUUGGGUCUACUUCCACCACAGACACAAGUAACACUGUCCAGACCCUCAAUACUUCCUUUGAAAAUAAAAACCUAUUUUUA